CCUGCCUCGGGACGCAGCAGUGGGGAAUAUUGCACAAUGGGGGAAACCCUGAUGCAGCGACGCCGCGUGAGUGAAGAAGUAAUUCGUUAUGUAAAGCUCUAUCAGCAGGGAAGAAAAUGACGGUACCUGAGUAAGAAGCCCCGGCUAACUACGUGCCAGCAGCCGCGGUAAUACGUAGGGGGCAAGCGUUAUCCGGAUUUACUGGGUGUAAAGGGAGCGUAGACGGCAGUGCAAGUCUGGAGUGAAAGGCGGGGGC
Molecule: ribosomal RNA, 256 nt
Filed under: uncultured bacterium
Lineage: Bacteria
Description: partial 16S ribosomal RNA
Rfam family: Bacterial small subunit ribosomal RNA
Source: RNAcentral